Long non-coding RNA from Artibeus jamaicensis (Jamaican fruit-eating bat), 1840 nucleotides. RefSeq lists it as uncharacterized. Lineage: Eukaryota; Metazoa; Chordata; Mammalia; Chiroptera; Phyllostomidae. The transcript has 3 exons. The record is from RefSeq and is a predicted model, not a curated record.
GCUGCCUGGGCUCUGUUUGGUUCUAAUUUGGAUGCUGUCAUACUACAGGAGAAAUUUAAUGAGAAGGCAGAUUUCUCAUCGCAGCUGUGAGAAACUCUGAUGCCAGCAAUAAACCACAGGUGUCCAGGGAAGGGAGGAAUGCUAAUGCCAGCAGUAAAACUGCAGAUGUCCAACUGAAGCAAACUGAAAGACAACAUCGGAACAAAAGCGAGCAAACCGGAGCAGGAGCUGCACAACUCCCCUUCAGCCCCUCCCCUUCCUUCCACUUCUCUCUCUCAAGAGAAACAGCAGGUCCACCCUCCCUCAGGGAAGCUUGCCUCUCCUGAGUUCCCAACAACUCCUUGUAAGAAUCACUGGCUGUUAAGAUGGGUUUUUGAGGACCAGAGUCCCCCAUCUUCUCGAGAUCCCAGCACUUAAAUAAACCACUGUCCUUCUCACCAGCACCUGUCUCAUAAAUUUGGCUUUCCUUGCAACAGGCAGCCAAACCUGGGUUCUAUUUCAGCAUGACUACAGCUAAUCUUUCUAUGCCUAAUAUUACUGUUUGUGGCUGCCUUUCUUUUUCCUGUGUUUUCUCCCUUUUUUUUUAUUGGAAGUUUAUUGAUAUAUUUCUUUCCUAUACCCUCACUUUCACUUAUGAAGGGAUAACACUAUCCUGACAGAGUCCUAAGGGUGACAGAAAGUGAGGGUUAGCCAUGUAGUAUUUUAGUGUUUGGGGAGUUUGGUUUAAGAUGUCUUUUUCAAUAUGGAACAUAUUGAAGAUUAGACAAAGUGAUAUAAUAGCUAGGGUUGUCACAUAGAGAAAACUGAGGGUUUUGAAGUGAACGUUUACAAAUAAACAGCCAUUUAUCCAGGCCAGAAAUGCAUUGUUCUGAGAAUGGAGAAAAUGCUAUUAUAUGAGAGCCAGAUAUGGGCAAGGCUGGUGGGGCCCUAGCAGGGGUGAAGACUGGGACUCAAAUCAAGGGAGCAGACCAGAAGGAAGGAAAAAAUGACCAAACAGAAAAAUAUGAAGAAACAAGAAUUCAAACAAAUAAGGAGAGGCUUAGGAACCUCCAGGACAUCUUUAAACGCUCCAACAUCUGAAUUAUAGGUGUACCAGAAGGGGAAGAGGAACAGUCACGAGUGGAAACCUUAUCUGAACAAAUAAUAAACUAGAACUUCCCCAUUCUGGCAAAGGAAAUAGACUUCCAGGAAAUCCAGGAAGCUCAGAGAGCCCCAAAGAAUUUGGACCCAAGAAGGAACACACCAAGGCCCAUCAUCAUUAUAUUAGCCAAGAUUAAAAUGAAGGAGAGAAUCCUAGAUGCAGCAAGAAAUAAGGGGACUGUCACCUACAAAGGACUUCCCAUCACACUGCCAGCGGAUUUCUCAACAGAGACCUUACAGGCAAGAAGGGGCUGGAAAGAAGUAUUCCAAGUCAUGAAAACCAAAGACCUACAACCAAGAUUGCUCUAUCCAGCAAAGCUUUCAUUUAAAAUGGAAGGACAGUUAAAGUGCUUCUCAGAUAAGAUCAAAUUCAAGGAGUUCAUCAUCACCAAGCUCUUACUAUAUGAAAUGUUAAAGGGACUUACCUAAGAAAAAGAAGAUAAAAAAGAUGAACAGUGAAAGGACAGCAAACUCACAGUUGUUAACAACCACACCUAAAACAAAAGCAAAUUAAGAGGACAGCUAGAUCAUGAGCAGAACCAUAGAAAUGAAGAUCACAUGGAGGGUUAGCAACAGGGAAGUGGGAGAAGGAAAAGGGGGGAGAAAGUACAGAAAAUAAGUAGCAUAGAUGGUAGGUAGAAAAUAGAUAGGGAGGAGGGCAAGAAUAGUAUGGGAAAUAUAGAAUUUGAGAACUUGAGAC